This 713-nucleotide ribosomal RNA is filed under the name uncultured Planctomycetota bacterium. RNAcentral describes it as "bacterial SSU rRNA". It matches the Rfam family "Bacterial small subunit ribosomal RNA", at positions 74 to 818 of the family's 1533-position model. Lineage: Bacteria; Pseudomonadati; Planctomycetota. The record is from RNAcentral.
GCCCCUUCGGGGGUGUAUAAAGUGGCGAAAGGGCGAGGAAUACGUUCCUACGUACCCCCAGGUCAGGGAUAGCCCAUGGAAACGUGGAGUAAUACCUGAUGUGGUCUCCGGAUCAAAGGCCUUGUGCCGCCCGGGGAGCGGGGAACGUCCUAUCAGGUUGUUGGUGAGGUAACGGCUCACCAAGCCGAAGACGGGUAGCGGGUGUGAGAGCAUGACCCGCCGCAUCGGGACUGAGACACUGCCCGGACUCCUACGGGAGGCUGCAGUAACGAAUCUUCCGCAAUGCGCGAAAGCGUGACGGAGCAAUGCCGCGUGCGGGAUGAAGCCCUUCGGGGUGUAAACCGCUGUCAGGGUUUAGGAACACAAUGACCAUACCCAAAGGAAGGACCGGCUAACUUCGUGCCAGCAGCCGCGGUAAUACGAAGGGUCCAAGCGUUAAUCGGAAUCACUGGGCUUAAAGCGUACGCAGGCGGACGUGCAGGUAUCUUGUGAAAUCCCUCGGCUCAACCGAGGAAUUGCUUGGUAAACCGCACGUCUUGAGACAGGUAGGGGCCAUCGGAACGAUAGGUGGAGUGGUGAAAUGCGUUGAUAUCUAUCGGAACGCCGAAGGAGAAAUCAGAUGGCUGGGCCUGUUCUGACGCUCAGGUACGAAAGCGUGGGGAGCGAACGGGAUUAGAUACCCCGGUAGUCCACGCCGUAAACGAUGUGCACUA